CACACAAAAGUCGUGCACGCCGGAGCAUGUCCUCUCACAUAAAAUCCAUCUCACCCUUUUGUGCACCACCGCGUGGGCACCCUUUGGGAUUGAACCGAUCCUGGAGGGGGCUUGCGUUUUCACACACACCCCUUUAAAAAGUGUAGAAUGACCCCAUUUUUGCGAUGACACGCAAUCAAUACAACUUUCAACAACGGAUCUCUUGGCUCUCGCAUCGAUGAAGAACGCAGCGAAAUGCGAUACGUAAUGUGAAUUGCAGAAUUCAGUGAAUCAUCGAAUCUUUGAACGCACCUUGCGCCCCUUGGUAUUCCGAGGGGCACACCCGUUUGAGUGUCGUGAAAAUCUCAACCUUCUUGGUUUCUUYUGGAUGCCAAAGGAGGCUUGGACUUUGGAGGCCUUUGCUGGUGUCUCUCUCUUUUGAGAGCCAGCUCCUCUUAAAUGAAUUAGCGGGGUCCUCUUUGCCGAUCCUCGACAUGUGAUAAGAUGUUUCCAUGACUUGGUUUCUGGCUCUGUUGCCUUUGGGACCYGCUUCUAACCGUCCUGACCUYGCGUCGAGACAAUGUUUGAGCGCGUCUCCCUUCUCGGGAGACCCUCUCGACCACACGAACCCUUGACCUCAAA
This 621-nucleotide ribosomal RNA is filed under the name Lactarius salmoneus. RNAcentral's name for it is "eukaryotic LSU rRNA". The stretch from base 183 to 336 matches the Rfam family "5.8S ribosomal RNA". Lineage: Eukaryota; Fungi; Basidiomycota; Agaricomycetes; Russulales; Russulaceae. The record is from RNAcentral.